This 3301-nucleotide ribosomal RNA is filed under the name Saccharomyces cerevisiae YJM1417. RNAcentral's name for it is "21S ribosomal RNA". The stretch from base 188 to 3154 matches the Rfam family "Bacterial large subunit ribosomal RNA". Lineage: Eukaryota; Fungi; Ascomycota; Saccharomycetes; Saccharomycetales; Saccharomycetaceae. The record is from RNAcentral.
GUAAAAAGUAGAAUAAUAGAUUUGAAAUAUUUAUUAUAUAGAUUUAAAGAGAUAAUCAUGGAGUAUAAAAAUUAAAUUUAAUAAAUUUAAUAUAACUAUUAAUAGAAUUAGGUUACUAAUAAAUUAAUAACAAUUAAUUUUAAAACCUAAAGGUAAACCUUUAUAUUAAUAAUGUUUUUUUUUUAUUUUUAUAAUUAAGAAUAAUUAUUAAUAAUAAUAAACUAAGUGAACUGAAACAUCUAAGUAACUUAAGGAUAAUAAAUCAACAGAGAUAUUAUGAGUAUUGGUGAGAGAAAAUAAUAAAGGUCUAAUAAGUAUUAUGUGAAAAAAAUGUAAGAAAAUAGGAUAACAAAUUCUAAGACUAAAUACUAUUAAUAAGUAUAGUAAGUACCGUAAGGGAAAGUAUGAAAAUGAUUAUUUUAUAAGCAAUCAUGAAUAUAUUAUAUUAUAUUAAUGAUGUACCUUUUGUAUAAUGGGUCAGCAAGUAAUUAAUAUUAGUAAAACAAUAAGUUAUAAAUAAAUAGAAUAAUAUAUAUAUAUAAAAAAAUAUAUUAAAAUAUUUAAUUAAUAUUAAUUGACCCGAAAGCAAACGAUCUAACUAUGAUAAGAUGGAUAAACGAUCGAACAGGUUGAUGUUGCAAUAUCAUCUGAUUAAUUGUGGUUAGUAGUGAAAGACAAAUCUGGUUUGCAGAUAGCUGGUUUUCUAUGAAAUAUAUGUAAGUAUAGCCUUUAUAAAUAAUAAUUAUUAUAUAAUAUUAUAUAAAUAUUAUAUAAAGAAUGGUACAGCAAUUAAUAUAUAUUAGGGAACUAUUAAAGUUUUAUUAAUAAUAUUAAAUCUCGAAAUAUUUAAUUAUAUAUAAUAAAGAGUCAGAUUAUGUGCGAUAAGGUAAAUAAUCUAAAGGGAAACAGCCCAGAUUAAGAUAUAAAGUUCCUAAUAAAUAAUAAGUGAAAUAAAUAUUAAAAUAUUAUAAUAUAAUCAGUUAAUGGGUUUGACAAUAACCAUUUUUUAAUGAACAUGUAACAAUGCACUGAUUUAUAAUAAAUAAAAAAAAUAAUAUUUAAAAUCAAAUAUAUAUAUAUUUGUUAAUAGAUAAUAUACGGAUCUUAAUAAUAAGAAUUAUUUAAUUCCUAAUAUGGAAUAUUAUAUUUUUAUAAUAAUAAUAAAAAUAUAAAUACUGAAUAUCUAAAUAUUAUUAUUACUUUUUUUUUAAUAAUAAUAAUAUGGUAAUAGAACAUUUAAUGAUAAUAUAUAUUAGUUAUUAAUUAAUAUAUGUAUUAAUUAAAUAGAGAAUGCUGACAUGAGUAACGAAAAAAAGGUAUAAACCUUUUCACCUAAAACAUAAGGUUUAACUAUAAAAGUACGGCCCCUAAUUAAAUUAUAUAAGAAUAUAAAUAUAUUUAAGAUGGGAUAAUCUAUAUUAAUAAAAAUUUAUCUUAAAAUAUAUAUAUUAUUAAUAAUUAUAUUAAUUAAUUAAUAAUAUAUAUAAUUAUAUUAUAUAUUAUAUUUUUAUAUAUAAUAUAUAUAAUAUAAACUAAUAAAGAUCAGGAAAUAAUUAAUGUAUACCGUAAUGUAGACCGACUCAGGUAUGUAAGUAGAGAAUAUGAAGGUGAAUUAGAUAAUUAAAGGGAAGGAACUCGGCAAAGAUAGCUCAUAAGUUAGUCAAUAAAGAGUAAUAAGAACAAAGUUGUACAACUGUUUACUAAAAACACCGCACUUUGCAGAAACGAUAAGUUUAAGUAUAAGGUGUGAACUCUGCUCCAUGCUUAAUAUAUAAAUAAAAUUAUUUAACGAUAAUUUUAUUAAAUUUAGGUAAAUAGCAGCCUUAUUAUGAGGGUUAUAAUGUAGCGAAAUUCCUUGGCCUAUAAUUGAGGUCCCGCAUGAAUGACGUAAUGAUACAACAACUGUCUCCCCUUUAAGCUAAGUGAAAUUGAAAUCGUAGUGAAGAUGCUAUGUACCUUCAGCAAGACGGAAAGACCCUAUGCAGCUUUACUGUAAUUAGAUAGAUCGAAUUAUUGUUUAUUAUAUUCAGCAUAUUAAGUAAUCCUAUUAUUAGGUAAUCGUUUAGAUAUUAAUGAGAUACUUAUUAUAAUAUAAUGAUAAUUCUAAUCUUAUAAAUAAUUAUUAUUAUUAUUAUUAUUAAUAAUAAUAAUAUGCUUUCAAGCAUAGUGAUAAAACAUAUUUAUAUGAUAAUCACUUUACUUAAUAGAUAUAAUUCUUAAGUAAUAUAUAAUAUAUAUUAUAUAUAUAUUAUAUAUAAUAUAAGAGACAAUCUCUAAUUGGUAGUUUUGAUGGGGCGUCAUUAUCAGCAAAAGUAUCUGAAUAAGUCCAUAAAUAAAUAUAUAAAAUUAUUGAAUAAAAAAAUAAUAUAUAUUAUAUAUAUUAAUUAUAAAUUGAAAUAUGUUUAUAUAAAUUUAUAUUUAUUGAAUAUAUUUUAGUAAUAGAUAAAAAUAUGUACAGUAAAAUUGUAAGGAAAACAAUAAUAACUUUCUCCUCUCUCGGUGGGGGUUCACACCUAUUUUUAAUAGGUGUGAACCCCUCUUCGGGGUUCCGGUUCCCUUUCGGGUCCCGGAACUUAAAUAAAAAUGGAAAGAAUUAAAUUAAUAUAAUGGUAUAACUGUGCGAUAAUUGUAACACAAACGAGUGAAACAAGUACGUAAGUAUGGCAUAAUGAACAAAUAACACUGAUUGUAAAGGUUAUUGAUAACGAAUAAAAGUUACGCUAGGGAUAACAGGGUAAUAUAACGAAAGAGUAGAUAUUGUAAGUUAUGUUUGCCACCUCGAUGUCGACUCAACAUUUCCUCUUGGUUGUAAAAGCUAAGAAGGGUUUGACUGUUCGUCAAUUAAAAUGUUACGUGAGUUGGGUUAAAUACGAUGUGAAUCAGUAUGGUUCCUAUCUGCUGAAGGAAAUAUUAUCAAAUUAAAUCUCAUUAUUAGUACGCAAGGACCAUAAUGAAUCAACCCAUGGUGUAUCUAUUGAUAAUAAUAUAAUAUAUUUAAUAAAAAUAAUACUUUAUUAAUAUAUUAUCUAUAUUAGUUUAUAUUUUAAUUAUAUAUUAUCAUAGUAGAUAAGCUAAGUUGAUAAUAAAUAAAUAUUGAAUACAUAUUAAAUAUGAAGUUGUUUUAAUAAGAUAAUUAAUCUGAUAAUUUUAUACUAAAAUUAAUAAUUAUAGGUUUUAUAUAUUAUUUAUAAAUAUAAUAUAAUAAUUAUUAUUAUUAAUAAAAAAAAUAUUAAUUAUAAUAUUAAUAAAAUACUAAUUUAUCAGUUAUCUAUAUAAUAUCUAAUCUAUUAUUCUAUAUACU